UGCAGAUGAUGUGAACGGAUAUUUGCUAUCGGAAAUAACGGUGAUGACAUCCGAACCACCAAGAUCGCUGAUGCG
Acomys russatus (golden spiny mouse) is the source of this 75-nucleotide small nucleolar RNA. RefSeq annotates it as small nucleolar RNA SNORD24. The record is from RefSeq and is a predicted model, not a curated record. Lineage: Eukaryota; Metazoa; Chordata; Mammalia; Rodentia; Muridae. The transcript has a single exon.